This is a long non-coding RNA of Myotis myotis, 356 nucleotides long. RefSeq lists it as uncharacterized. The transcript is spliced from 3 exons. Lineage: Eukaryota; Metazoa; Chordata; Mammalia; Chiroptera; Vespertilionidae. The record is from RefSeq and is a predicted model, not a curated record.
UCUUUGCAUACGGGCAAACAGGCAGUGGUAAGACCUUCACCAUCACGGGUGGCGCAGAGCGCUACAGCGACAGAGGCAUUAUCCCAAGGACACUGUCGUACAUUUUUGAGGAGUUGCAAAAGGACAGCAGCAAAAUAUACACAACGCACAUUUCUUACUUGGAAAUCUACAAUGAAUGCGGUUAUGAUCUCUUGGAUCCAAGACAUGAAGCCUCCAGUUUGGAAGACUUGCCGAAAGUGACGAUAUUGGAGGACCCUGAUCAGAACAUUCACCUGAAAAACCUGUCUCGCCAUCAGGCAACCACGGAGGAAGAGGCUCUGAACCUGCUUUUCUUAGGAGACACCAACAGGAUGAUU